This 252-nucleotide ribosomal RNA is filed under the name uncultured bacterium. RNAcentral's name for it is "partial 16S ribosomal RNA". It matches the Rfam family "Bacterial small subunit ribosomal RNA", at positions 525 to 776 of the family's 1533-position model. The record is from RNAcentral.
ACGGAGGAUGCAAGCGUUAUCCGGAUUUAUUGGGUUUAAAGGGUGCGUAGGCGGUAUUACAAGUCAGGGGUGAAAUCUUGGUGCUUAACAUUAAAAUUGCCUUUGAAACUGUGGUACUUGAGUGUAAAAGAGGUAGGCGGAAUGUGUUGUGUAGCGGUGAAAUGCAUAGAUAUAACACAGAACCCCGAUUGCGAAGGCAGCUUACUAUCAUACAACUGACGCUGAUGCACGAAAGCGUGGGGAUCAAACAGG